Non-coding RNA from Salmo salar (Atlantic salmon), 892 nucleotides. NCBI's taxonomy places the organism in Eukaryota, Metazoa, Chordata, Actinopteri, Salmoniformes, Salmonidae. The record is from RefSeq and is a predicted model, not a curated record.
UGCAGAUUGCAGAUGUGAGGGAUGCUGUUUGCCUGGUAUGGGACAGAGGGCCAGGAAGAGGAAGAAUUCCACACAGCUCCUCUUCAUCUCCUGAUUCCAUCUGGGAUUCUACAAUAAAAUAAUGUGGCAUUACUUUAUUGGCAUCAUGGACUGCUUCCGUCCUUCUCUCCUCCAGGACCCGGAAAAACUGUUACGCUGUCGCCAUAUGUAGGAGAGUGUCAAUUCGUGUAUCCUACUGCGGUGGAGUUUUGAAAUCCACCACACACACUUUGAAACAGCUGUUGUUUUUCUCAGAUGAGAAAAGAAUGCACACAUUUAAAAACAAUACGCUACUUAUGCUUUUAUCUAUAAAAUGUAUAGCACAACUAUCUACAUUUCUUUUUACACAUGUAUUUUGGGUUUCCCCCUCUGUGAUUGAAUUUUCCUGACAAUACACUAGAGAUUUUUUGUAUUAUUAUUUUUUGUCUUAUUAUUAAUUCUUAUUUACAAUGACAGCCUACCCUGGCGAAACCCAGACUAUGCUGGGCCAAUUGUGCACAAUCACAGCUGGUUGUGAUACAGCCUGGAAUUGAACCAGGGUCUGUAGUGAUGCCUCUAGCACUGAGAUGCAGUGCCUUAGACCACUGCGCCACUCAGGAGCCCUCAGGAGAGAUGAAGGAGAGUUUCAUUUCAUACAAGCACAUUAGUAUCCACGUUUUCUCUGCACAUCUGAUUACCUUUGACCUUUUUCAAGCGGAGGCGAGGAGAGGACAGAAUUCCAAUUUAGAUUCUCCCUUUGUAACAGUGAUUUGACGGUGCAGAGUUUUAGAAUACAUGUUGCCCUCUAGUGGUGAUAGGAUAGUACCUCAUUGGGGAAUUAAAUCUUGCAACAAUAAACUGCACAUUUAUCACA